CCCUUAGAUGUUCUGGGCGGCCCGCGCACUGCAAUGGCGCUUUCAGCGAGUUCCUAUGUUGAAUUUUCCUGGGUAUUCUUGGAAGCGGCGUCUUGACUUGGGAUAGAUCCUUGUAAUUGUUGGUUUUGAACGAGGAAUUCCUUGUAAUCGCGGUUGAUCAGCUCGCGUUGAAUACGUCCCUGCCCUUUGUACACACCGCCCGUCGCUCCUACCGAUGAAUCGUCCGGUGAAGUUCACAGAGUGGCGGUUCGUGGAGUUGCUCGCGAAGUGAAAUGGACCUCACGAUUUAGAGGAAGGAGAAGUCGUAACA
RNAcentral lists this ribosomal RNA (310 nucleotides) under uncultured eukaryote. RNAcentral describes it as "partial 18S ribosomal RNA". It matches the Rfam family "Eukaryotic small subunit ribosomal RNA", at positions 1470 to 1796 of the family's 1831-position model. The record is from RNAcentral.